AGAACGUAGCGAAAUGCGAUACUUGGUGUGAAUUGCAGAAUCCCGUGAACCAUCGAGUCUUUGAACGCAAGUUGCGCCCGAAGCCAUUAGGUUGAG
Molecule: ribosomal RNA, 96 nt
Filed under: Indigofera uniflora
Lineage: Eukaryota; Viridiplantae; Streptophyta; Magnoliopsida; Fabales; Fabaceae
Description: 5.8S ribosomal RNA
Rfam family: 5.8S ribosomal RNA
About the family: 5.8S ribosomal RNA (5.8S rRNA) is a component of the large subunit of the eukaryotic ribosome. It is transcribed by RNA polymerase I as part of the 45S precursor that also contains 18S and 28S rRNA.
Source: RNAcentral